This 506-nucleotide ribosomal RNA is filed under the name Streptomyces sp. 306D08. RNAcentral describes it as "bacterial SSU rRNA". It matches the Rfam family "Bacterial small subunit ribosomal RNA", at positions 93 to 613 of the family's 1533-position model. The record is from RNAcentral. Lineage: Bacteria; Bacillati; Actinomycetota; Actinomycetes; Kitasatosporales; Streptomycetaceae.
UAGUGGCGAACGGGUGAGUAACACGUGGGCAAUCUGCCCUUCACUCUGGGACAAGCCCUGGAAACGGGGUCUAAUACCGGAUAACACCUGCCCGGGCAUCCGGGUGGGUUAAAAGCUCCGGCGGUGAAGGAUGAGCCCGCGGCCUAUCAGCUUGUUGGUGAGGUAGUGGCUCACCAAGGCGACGACGGGUAGCCGGCCUGAGAGGGCGACCGGCCACACUGGGACUGAGACACGGCCCAGACUCCUACGGGAGGCAGCAGUGGGGAAUAUUGCACAAUGGGCGAAAGCCUGAUGCAGCGACGCCGCGUGAGGGAUGACGGCCUUCGGGUUGUAAACCUCUUUCAGCAGGGAAGAAGCGAAAGUGACGGUACCUGCAGAAGAAGCGCCGGCUAACUACGUGCCAGCAGCCGCGGUAAUACGUAGGGCGCAAGCGUUGUCCGGAAUUAUUGGGCGUAAAGAGCUCGUAGGCGGCUUGUCACGUCGGGUGUGAAAGCCCGGGGCUUAAC